AUGUGGGAAACCACGAUGCGGGAAACCCAAGUGCCAGCGCUAUGCGUUGGCUGUCCUCGACUGUUUGUAGGUCGGGAAGAAAGUGCUGGGUAAGACGGGUGCCAGCCGCCGCGGUAAUACCCGCAGCACAAGUGGUGGUCAUUAUUAUUGGGCCUAAAGCGUCCGUAGCUGGCUUGUUAGAUGCCUGGGUAAAUCGAUGCGCUCAACGUAUCGAACUCCGGGUAGACCGGCAAGCUUGGGACCGGGAGAGAUGUGAGCUACUCGAGGGGUAGGGGUAAAAUCCUGUAAUCCUUCGGGGAGGACCAGUGGCGAAGGCGUCACAUUAGAACGGCUCCGACAGUGAGGGACGAAGCCCUGGGGCGCAAACCGGAUUAGAUACCCGUGUAGUCC
RNAcentral lists this ribosomal RNA (390 nucleotides) under uncultured archaeon. RNAcentral describes it as "bacterial SSU rRNA". It matches the Rfam family "Archaeal small subunit ribosomal RNA", at positions 355 to 747 of the family's 1478-position model. The record is from RNAcentral.